RNAcentral lists this ribosomal RNA (349 nucleotides) under uncultured bacterium. Its description in RNAcentral is "bacterial SSU rRNA". It matches the Rfam family "Bacterial small subunit ribosomal RNA", at positions 1 to 334 of the family's 1533-position model. The record is from RNAcentral.
GUACUACUCUCAGAGUUUGAUCCUGGCUCAGAACGAACGCUGGCGGCGCGUCUUAAGCAUGCAAGUCGAACGGCAAGAUUUUGUAGCUUGCUACAGAAUCCUAGAAUGGCGGACUGGUGAGUAACACGUGGGUGACGUACCUUUCAGAUGGGGAUAGCUACUAGAAAUAGUAGAUAAUACCGAAUACGACCACAGGGGUUAGAGACCUGUGAGGAAAGGAGCUAAGGCUCCGCUGAAAGAUUGGCCCGCGGCCCAUUAGCUAGUUGGUAGGGUAAAGGCCUACCAAGGCAAUGAUGGGUAUCCGGCCUGAGAGGGUGAUCGGACACAUUGGGACUGAGAUACGGCCCAG